RNAcentral lists this ribosomal RNA (447 nucleotides) under uncultured bacterium. RNAcentral's name for it is "partial 16S ribosomal RNA". It matches the Rfam family "Bacterial small subunit ribosomal RNA", at positions 29 to 523 of the family's 1533-position model. The record is from RNAcentral.
AGCGAACGCUGGCGGCAGGCUUAACACAUGCAAGUCGAACGCCCCGCAAGGGGAGUGGCAGACGGGUGAGUAACACGUGGGAACGUACCCUUUGGUUCGGAGUAACUUGGGGAAACUCAAGCUAAUACCGGAUAAGCCCUUAUGGGGAAAGGUUUACUGCCGAAGGAUCGGCCCGCGUCUGAUUAGCUAGUUGGUGAGGUAAUGGCUCACCAAGGCGACGAUCAGUAGCUGGUCUGAGAGGAUGAUCAGCCACACUGGGACUGAGACACGGCCCAGACUCCUACGGGAGGCAGCAGUGGGGAAUAUUGGACAAUGGGGGCAACCCUGAUCCAGUCAUGCCGCGUGAGUGAUGAAGGCCUUAGGGUUGUAAAGCUCUUUUACCCGGGACGAUAAUGAUUGUACCGGGAGAAUAAGCCCCGGCUAACUUCGUGCCAGCAGCCGCCGUAA